RNAcentral lists this ribosomal RNA (464 nucleotides) under Filifactor villosus. Its description in RNAcentral is "bacterial SSU rRNA". It matches the Rfam family "Bacterial small subunit ribosomal RNA", at positions 9 to 454 of the family's 1533-position model. The record is from RNAcentral. Lineage: Bacteria; Bacillati; Bacillota; Clostridia; Peptostreptococcales; Filifactoraceae.
GAGUUUGAUCAUGGCUCAGGAUGAACGCUGGCGGCGUGCUUAACACAUGCAAGUCGAACGGGCGAAUUAUAUCGGAGGUCUUCGGGCCGAAGAGAUAAUAAGCUAGUGGCGGACGGGUGCGUAACGUGUGGGUAAUCUGCCUUUGUCAUAGGAAUAACUGCUUGAAAAAGUAGCUAAUACCAAAUAACAUAUCGUAUAGGCAUCUAUAAGAUAUCAAAGAGAAAUCGGACAAAGAUGAGCCCGCAUCUGAUUAGCUAGUUGGUAGGGUAAAAGCCUACCAAGGCGACGAUCAGUAGCCGGCCUGAGAGGGUGAACGGCCACAUUGGAACUGAGACACGGUCCAAACUCCUACGGGAGGCAGCAGUGGGGAAUAUUGCACAAUGGGGGGAACCCUGAUGCAGCAACGCCGCGUGAGUGAAGAAGGCUUUCGAGUCGUAAAACUCUGUUGUAAGGGAAGAUAAUGA